CGGGGUGCAGCAGGCGCGAAAACUUUACAAUGCGGGAAACCGUGAUAAGGGGACACCGAGUGCCAGCAUCAUAUGCUGGCUGUCCAGGUGUGUAAAAUACACCUGUUAGCAAGGGCCGGGCAAGACCGGUGCCAGCCGCCGCGGUAACACUGGCGGCCCGAGUGGUGAUCGUGAUUAUUGGGUCUAAAGGGUCCGUAGCCGGUUUGGUCAGUCCUCCGGGAAAUUUGACGGCUCAACCGUUAGGCUUUCGGGGGAUACUGCCAGGCUUGGAACCGGGAGAGGUAAGAGGUACUACAGGGGUAGGAGUGAAAUCUUGUAAUCCCUGUGAGACCACCUGUGGCGAAGGCGUCUUACCAGAACGGGUUUGACGGUGAGGGACGAAAGCUGGGGGCACGAACCGGAUUAGAUACCCGGGUAGUCCCAGCCGUAAACGAUGCUCGCUAGGUGUCAGGCAUGGCGCGACCGUGUCUGGUGCCGCAGGGAAGCCGUGAAGCGAGCCACCUGGGAAGUACGGCCGCAAGGCUGAAACUUAAAGGAAUUGGCGGGCGAGCACAA
This 555-nucleotide ribosomal RNA is filed under the name uncultured archaeon. RNAcentral describes it as "bacterial SSU rRNA". It matches the Rfam family "Archaeal small subunit ribosomal RNA", at positions 326 to 881 of the family's 1478-position model. The record is from RNAcentral.